GACGAACGCUGGCGGCGUGCUUAACACAUGCAAGUCGAACGGCAAGGCCCUUCUUUUGUGGGGGUCUCGAGUGGCGAACGGGUGAGUAACACGUGAGUAACCUGCCCUUGACUUUGGGAUAACUUCAGGAAACUGGGGCUAAUACCGGAUAGGAGCUCCGGCUGCAUGGUGGGGGUUGGAAAGUUUCGGCGGUUGGGGAUGGACUCGCGGGUUCUCAUCUUGUUGGUGGGGUAGUGGAUUACCAAGGCUUUGACGGGUAGCCGGCCUGAGAGGGUGACCGGCAACAUUGGGAAUGAGAUACGGCAGAGAGUACUAAGGGAGGCAGGAGUGGGGAAUAUUGCAUGAUGGGCGGAAGUCUGAUGCAGGAAGGAGGUGUGAUGGAUGACGGACUUCGGGUUUUAAACCGUUUACGCCGGUGACGAAGCGUGAGUGAAGGUAAUGGGUAAAGAAGCACCGGCUAACUACGUG
RNAcentral lists this ribosomal RNA (468 nucleotides) under uncultured bacterium. Its description in RNAcentral is "partial 16S ribosomal RNA". It matches the Rfam family "Bacterial small subunit ribosomal RNA", at positions 28 to 507 of the family's 1533-position model. The record is from RNAcentral.